This 762-nucleotide ribosomal RNA is filed under the name Triticum aestivum (bread wheat). RNAcentral describes it as "partial small subunit ribosomal RNA". The record is from RNAcentral. Lineage: Eukaryota; Viridiplantae; Streptophyta; Magnoliopsida; Poales; Poaceae.
AUGAUCUGUCACCCUCGAGCUUCAUAUGAAGUCCACCACCCCGAUGAGAUUUUCUUACACGACGUGUACUCAAAGAUAGUGGAUCAUUCACCUCGAUAUAAAGGAAGCUUUUUAAAGAUUGAUGUCCUUUCUCUCUACAAUGAGGUUUUAAGUCUCUGUUCACAGAGGAGUAGACAUUUGUACAAAUUGGAUUCCUUGGUUAGGAAGGCUGCAAAGAUGAAGGCUAAGUUAGAAAAGCAUCCUUCCGUCGAAGUGCCUAACGAGAGCAAGUCGAAAGCAGCUUCUGAGCAAACUGGAAAGCUUGAGGCAGGUAAUUCUGUUUUGGGUUCAGUGAUGGGAGAAUUAGAUGCAACAAGCACUUUGCUUAAAGAUAAAGAAUCUGAAGUUGUUACACGUCAUGACAGCGUCAGACUCUUGGAAGAUGAUGCGACUACCAGGCUCAUUGAUGUGACAAUUGAUCCUGAAGAGAAAGAAGCACCAGACUUGACUCUGGUGAUGAAAGAAGAAAAUGAAAACGAUGGGCUUCUGGCCAAGCUGAAUCAUCUCGAGGCUCUGGCACUGGAAGUUAGAAAAACUGGUGAGGAAGCCAACAAGGUCGUUCAAUUGAUUCACAAACUAGUAGAUGUGCUGAUGGAAAAAGCAAAUGAAAAUGGUGUCCUGCUGGAGAAGGUGAAUCAUCUCGAGGCUCAGCUACUGAUAGCCAAAAAAGCUAGCGAGGAAGCGAAGGCAGAGACCCCUGUCAACUGGAGGAUAAACCAUUAG